RNAcentral lists this long non-coding RNA (342 nucleotides) under Rosa chinensis. Its description in RNAcentral is "sRNA RchiOBHm_Chr5g0020231". Lineage: Eukaryota; Viridiplantae; Streptophyta; Magnoliopsida; Rosales; Rosaceae. The record is from RNAcentral.
UAAUCGCGGCCUUUCAUGGCCGAAGCCGCGGGAAAAUACGUUGAAACUGCCAAAGGAACCGAAGCUUCCGGGCUUUGAUUCUCCUUUCUCUCUUAGCUUUUCGAGAAACUACCAGAGGGAGAUUGCUGAAUCCGAGAAGAAGCUGCCGACACUGGUGAGACGCCGUAACGUGGCCGAAAUCGGAUAACCCGUCGCCGGUCGUUUGGAGUAGGGACGACUGGGCUUCGCUUCCUGCUACCGAGACAAGUCGAAGGGCGUCAGUGCGACGCCUUGAAGUUGCUGAAAAGUGGAAUAGAUGUUGAAUCGUGUGAUCGUGUCACUAGAAGGAAACGGGUCGGCGCC